AGAGUUUGAUCCUGGCUCAGGAACAACGCUGGCGGCGUGCCUAAUGCAUGCAAGUCGGACGGGAGCCCCUUCGGGGGUCGACCGUGGCGGACGGGUGAGGAGCACGUGGGGAACCUGCCCAUGCGAGGGGGAUAGCCCCGGGAAACCGGGGGUAAGACCCCAUGGGCUUGGUUGGCGGGAGGCUGGCCAAGCAAAAGCGCAAGCUGCGCAUGGAGGGCCCUGCGGCCUAUCAGCUGGUUGGUGGGGUAACGGCCUACCAAGGCGAUGACGGGUCGCUGGUCUGAGAGGACGAUCAGCCACACGGGGACUGAGACACGGCCCCGACUCCUACGGGAGGCAGCAGCAAGGAAUUUUCCGCAAUGGGCGCAAGCCUGACGGAGCGACGCCGCGUGGAGGAAGACCCCCUUCGGGGCGUAAACUCCUUUUCUGGGGGACGAAGCACUGACGGUACCCCAGGAAGAAGCACCGGCUAACUACGUGCCAGCAGCCGCGGUAAUAC
Molecule: ribosomal RNA, 499 nt
Filed under: uncultured bacterium
Lineage: Bacteria
Description: bacterial SSU rRNA
Rfam family: Bacterial small subunit ribosomal RNA
Source: RNAcentral